RNAcentral lists this ribosomal RNA (774 nucleotides) under uncultured Neocallimastigales. RNAcentral's name for it is "partial large subunit ribosomal RNA". It matches the Rfam family "Eukaryotic large subunit ribosomal RNA", at positions 22 to 628 of the family's 3401-position model. Lineage: Eukaryota; Fungi; Neocallimastigomycota; Neocallimastigomycetes; Neocallimastigales. The record is from RNAcentral.
GUACACGCUGUGACUAGCAUACCAAUAAGCGGAGGAAAAGAAACUAACAAGGAUUCCCCUAGUAACGGCGAGUGAAGCGGGAAGAGCUCAAAUUUGAAAUCUUAAAGGGUUUCCCUUUACGAAUUGUAGUUUAAAGAAGUGUUUUCUGUUGAGGUUUUGGUAAAAGUUCUUUGGAAUAGGACAUCAUAGAGGGUGAGAAUCCCGUAUUUGACCUUUACUUUCAACUUAGUGAUACACUUUCAAAGAGUCGGAUUGUUUGGGAAUGCAGUCCAAAAUGGGUGGUAAAUUUCAUCUAAAGCUAAAUAUUGGCGAGAGACCGAUAGCGAACAAGUACCGUGAGGGAAGGAUGAAAAGAACUUUGAAAAGAGAGUUAAACAGUACGUGAAAUUGUCAAAAGGGAAGCGUUUGACACCAGUGUUGUUUUUCUGAAAAUCAAUUAAAGAACUGUUUAUGCUAAGUUGUUUAGACUUUAUCAGCUAUCUGUUUAGUUUUGAGCUUUUCUUUAAUGCACUUUUCAGUUAACAAGUCAACAUCAAUUUCUUUUGCUGUAAAAAAGCUUGAGGAAGGUGGCUUGAGAUUCGUCUUAAGUGUUUAUAGCCUCUUGCCUAUGCAGUCGGAGAGAUUGAGGUCUGCAGCGUAGAUCCUUCGGGGCUAAAUGCAUUUGUGCUAAGUUAUAGCAUUUUAUAGACAACUUGUUGACUAUGAUUUGUCUUGUAGCUUACUCGCUUAUGUUAUUUUACCUACGCUUAGGAUGUUGAGUCGUAGAGCACGCAG